RNAcentral lists this ribosomal RNA (468 nucleotides) under uncultured bacterium. RNAcentral's name for it is "partial 16S ribosomal RNA". It matches the Rfam family "Bacterial small subunit ribosomal RNA", at positions 28 to 507 of the family's 1533-position model. The record is from RNAcentral.
GACGAACGCUGGCGGCGUGCUUAACACAUGCAAGUCGAACGGAAAGGCCCUGCUUUUGUGGGGUGCUCGAGUGGCGAACGGGUGAGUAACACGUGAGUAACCUGCCCUUGACUUUGGGAUAACUUCAGGAAACUGGGGCUAAUACCGGAUAGGAGCUCCUGCUGCAUGGUGUGGGUUGGAAAGUUUCGGCGGUUGGGGAUGGACUCGCGGCUUAUCAGCUUGUUGGUGGGGUAGUGGCUUACCAAGGCUUUGACGGGUAGCCGGCCUGAGAGGGUGACCGGACACAUGGGGACUGAGAUACGGCCAAGACUCCUACGGGAGGAAGAAGUGGGGAAUAUUGCAAAAUGGGCGGAAGCCUGAUGCAGCAACGCCGCGUGCGGGAUGACGGCCUUCGGGUUGUAAACCGCUUUCGCCUGUGACGAAGCGUGAGUGACGGUAAUGGGUAAAGAAGCACCGGCUAACUACGUG